UACGGAGGGAGCUAGCGUUAUUCGGAAUUACUGGGCGUAAAGCGCACGUAGGCGGCUUUGUAAGUAAGAGGUGAAAGCCCAGAGCUCAACUCUGGAAUUGCCUUUAGACUGCAUCGCUUGAAUCAUGGAGAGGUCAGUGGAAUUCCGAGUGUAGAGGUGAAAUUCGUAGAUAUUCGGAAGAACACCAGUGGCGAAGGCGGCUGACUGGACAUGUAUUGACGCUGAGGUGCGAAAGCGUGGGGAGCAAACAGG
Molecule: ribosomal RNA, 252 nt
Filed under: uncultured bacterium
Lineage: Bacteria
Description: partial 16S ribosomal RNA
Rfam family: Bacterial small subunit ribosomal RNA
Source: RNAcentral